UGGUGGAGUGAUUUGUCUGGUUAAUUCCGAUAACGAACGAGACCUUAACCUGCUAAUUAGAAGUUUCGGAGUUCGUUCCGAACUCUCUUCUUAGAGGGACUGUUGCGUGCCUAAUCAAAGGAAGUUUGAGGCAAUAACA
Molecule: ribosomal RNA, 139 nt
Filed under: uncultured eukaryote
Lineage: Eukaryota
Description: partial 18S ribosomal RNA
Rfam family: Eukaryotic small subunit ribosomal RNA
Source: RNAcentral